UAACUAACACAAACUUCUACUGAUUCUACAGAUCUGCAGCUGACGUUUCGAUUGUUUGUGCUUGGAGCAGGAGGACUUUUUAUUUUGGGGCUUCUACCAUUUUGUUGCUGUGCCUGUUUGCAGAGGAGUCAAUGUUUCAAUCCUCUACGAAGUGCGAGUAAAGAAGUAGAACAAAUUGUGCAGAAGAAAAGAGCGCGUAGUGAAAAUAAUCAUGGCUUUUUAUCGGAUUUACUUAAGAAAAUCUCCAAGGACCGUAAGAGCAAGAAGAAAGCAGCAGCAGCAGCAGAAACACCUGCAUGAAGUCUGCAGACCAAGACACGUUAAGAUUCAGGCUAGCAAUUAUUUUUGAACACAGAAG
Molecule: long non-coding RNA, 358 nt
Filed under: Dromaius novaehollandiae (emu)
Lineage: Eukaryota; Metazoa; Chordata; Aves; Casuariiformes; Dromaiidae
Description: lncRNA (ENSDNVG00000004057.1)
Source: RNAcentral